This 253-nucleotide ribosomal RNA is filed under the name uncultured bacterium. RNAcentral describes it as "partial 16S ribosomal RNA". It matches the Rfam family "Bacterial small subunit ribosomal RNA", at positions 524 to 776 of the family's 1533-position model. The record is from RNAcentral.
UACGAACCGUCCAAACGUUAUUCGGAAUCACUGGGCUUAAAGAGUCCGUAGGCGGCUUAGAAAGUAGGGUGUGAAAUCCCACGGCUUAACCGUGGAACUGCGCCCUAAACUUCUAAGCUUGAGGGAGCUAGAGGUAAGCGGAACUGAUGGUGGAGCGGUGAAAUGCGUUGAUAUCAUCAGGAACACCGGAGGCGAAGGCGGCUUACUGGGGCUUUUCUGACGCUGAGGGACGAAAGCUAGGGUAGCGAACGGG